AACGACUCUCGGCAACGGAUAUCUCGGCUCUCGCAUCGAUGAAGAACGUAGCGAAAUGCGAUACUUGGUGUGAAUUGCAGAAUCCCGUGAACCAUCGAGUCUUUGAACGCAAGUUGCGUCCGAAGCCAUCAGGCUGAGGGCACGUCUGUCUGGGUGUCACGC
This 162-nucleotide ribosomal RNA is filed under the name Petrocodon dealbatus. RNAcentral's name for it is "5.8S ribosomal RNA". It matches the Rfam family "5.8S ribosomal RNA". From Rfam's summary of the family: 5.8S ribosomal RNA (5.8S rRNA) is a component of the large subunit of the eukaryotic ribosome. It is transcribed by RNA polymerase I as part of the 45S precursor that also contains 18S and 28S rRNA. The record is from RNAcentral. Lineage: Eukaryota; Viridiplantae; Streptophyta; Magnoliopsida; Lamiales; Gesneriaceae.